RNAcentral lists this ribosomal RNA (700 nucleotides) under uncultured bacterium. Its description in RNAcentral is "bacterial SSU rRNA". It matches the Rfam family "Bacterial small subunit ribosomal RNA", at positions 8 to 714 of the family's 1533-position model. The record is from RNAcentral.
AGAGUUUGAUCCUGGCUCAGGACGAACGCUGGCGGCGUGCCUAACACAUGCAAGUCGAGCGGAGAACACCAGAUGUUUACAUCGAAGUGUUCUUAGCGGCGGACGGGUGAGUAACGCGUGAACAAUCUGCCCUAUACAAAGGAAUAGCCUCGGGAAACUGGGAUUAAAACCGUAUAACACUUAAGCAUCGCAUGAUACAUAAGUCAAAUUGAUUAAGAGGUAUAGGAUGAGUUCGCGUCUGAUUAGCUAGUUGGUGAGGUAAUGGCUCACCAAGGCGACGAUCAGUAGCCGGCCUGAGAGGGUGAACGGCCACACUGGAACUGAGACACGGUCCAGACUCCUACGGGAGGCAGCAGUGGGGAAUAUUGCACAAUGGGCGAAAGCCUGAUGCAGCGACGCCGCGUGAGUGAAGAAGGUCUUCGGAUCGUAAAACUCUGUCCUUGGUGAAGAAAAAAAUGACGGUAGCCAAGGAGGAAGCCCCGGCUAACUACGUGCCAGCAGCCGCGGUAAUACGUAGGGGGCGAGCGUUGUCCGGAUUUACUGGGCGUAAAGGGUGAGUAGGCGGUUGUAUAUGUCAGAUGUAAAAGGCUAUGGCUUAACUAUAGUAAGCAUUUGAAACUGUACAACUUGAGUGCAGGAGAGGUAAGUGGAAUUCCUAGUGUAGCGGUGAAAUGCGUAGAUAUUAGGAGGAACACCAGUG